CUGAGCUUCAGAAAAUCUGCCCGCCAUGGCCUCCCAAAGUGCUGGGAUUACAGGCGGGAGCCACCGCGCCCCGCCUCCACUCAGUUCUUGGCAGCUGCUUUGUGCCUUUCUGCUGCCAGAUUGAGCUACCCAGCAGACCUCUUACACCUCUAUGGCCCCAGAAGGAGCUCUUACCUGCGUGUGGUGAUGCGGCGUCCUUGGACAAAGGUGGUGGACGUAGAAACAGAGCGAAAAGCACCAGCCCCGGGACUGAAGGAGAAAGAUGAGGAGGAGAAAUCUGGCAUCGGGACAAGGGAGGAGGAGGAGAGGUGGUUAGAAGAAGACUGCGCUGCCUAUCGUGGUCACCGAGGCGCCAGGCCUCCUCGCAGGGCUGCUGGAGGCAGGGCUCCCAACACAGGAGACAGGCUUGGAAAAGCAACAAGCUCAGUCCAAGGGUUCCAGGAAUCGGAGCUUGCAAAAGUGGGAAGGGGCAAAACUUACCAGAGUGCCCAGGGAAGGAGGAAGAGAAGGUAAAGAAAGGGCCUGAGUGUCGGGAACCCCGGUUCUGAAGCUCUGAGAAGGGGCCCAGGUCAUCUGCAACAAGUAAACAGAUUAGCAAUCCUCUGGUAAUGACAUUUCCCCCCAAAAGUGUGUGAGCCCUGCUGUUAAGUCUGGAAGUAUAAAUGCUAAGCAACUGGGUAGGGUUUUUCUUUUCCGCUUUUUAGUUGGGCUUAUUUAUAAUUAAAUUCCUUUUUAAUGUUGAAUUCGAAGACGCUCACUAGUUAAUUCUGUCCACAAUAAAGAAUAAAGGAAGGAAGGAGGGGGCAGAGGGAUGGAGGACAGAUGGCUCUUUCAGUACAGGCAAAUCAUCAUGACGCGAUGACAGGCAGACACAGCUAGGAGUCCAGCUCUGCCAUGUGCUAUGUGACUCUGAGCUAUUGGCUGUGCCUUGGUUUUCUCAUCUGCAAAUGGAGAUAAAAUUGCCCACCUCUCAGGGUUCACUAGAGAAUUAGGGAAUGUAAAAUAUUUGGCACAUAUCAAUCAUUAAAAAAUACCAGUAUCUGUUUUAUAGGUAAUAAUAAUAAUAUUGUUAACAAGAUGCUUUGAGUCUUGCCUUCACAGCUCUUACUGUAGAGGUCUAACAGUGUAUUAUUGUCGUUGUCAUUUAAUAAAGUGAGUCUGUGAAGUGUCA
Macaca mulatta (Rhesus monkey) is the source of this 1171-nucleotide non-coding RNA. The record is from RefSeq and is a predicted model, not a curated record. NCBI's taxonomy places the organism in Eukaryota, Metazoa, Chordata, Mammalia, Primates, Cercopithecidae.